Molecule: unclassified non-coding RNA, 276 nt
Filed under: Hevea brasiliensis (rubber tree)
Lineage: Eukaryota; Viridiplantae; Streptophyta; Magnoliopsida; Malpighiales; Euphorbiaceae
Source: RNAcentral
GUUUGAACUCGUCCACUUUCAAGUUCAGGAAGGAUGAUAAUAUGGGUUCCCAAGGCCAGGGAAGCGAUUAUGAAUGUGCUGUUUGCUUGUCGGUUUUUGAAGAGGGAGAGGAGAUCAGGCAAUUGCCCGGAUGCAACCACUCCUUUCAUGCUCCUUGUAUAGACAUGUGGCUGUUUUCUCACUCUGAUUGCCCACUUUGUCGUGCCCGAGUUGUCGCUGCUCCACCUCCCUUCUGCCGGCGACAUCAUGAGGAAGCUACGCCUGAUAACUCUCAAG